AGUCGAGCGAGCUUGCCUAGAUGAUUUUAGUGCUUGCACUAAAUGAAACUAGAUACAAGCGAGCGGCGGACGGGUGAGUAACACGUGGGUAACCUGCCCAAGAGACUGGGAUAACACCUGGAAACAGAUGCUAAUACCGGAUAACAACACUAGACGCAUGUCUAGAGUUUGAAAGAUGGUUCUGCUAUCACUCUUGGAUGGACCUGCGGUGCAUUAGCUAGUUGGUAAGGUAACGGCUUACCAAGGCAAUGAUGCAUAGCCGAGUUGAGAGACUGAUCGGCCACAUUGGGACUGAGACACGGCCCAAACUCCUACGGGAGGCAGCAGUAGGGAAUCUUCCACAAUGGACGAAAGUCUGAUGGAGCAACGCCGCGUGAGUGAAGAAGGGUUUCGGCUCGUAAAGCUCUGUUGGUAGUGAAGAAAGAUAGAGGUAGUAACUGGCCUUUAUUUGACGGUAAUUACUUAGAAAGUCACGGCUAACUACGUGCCAGCAGCCGCGGUAAUACGUAGGUGGCAAGCGUUGUCCGGAUUUAUUGGGCGUAAAGCGAGUGCAGGCGGUUCAAUAAGUCUGAUGUGAAAGCCCGUGGCUCAACCGCGGAACUGCUUUGGAAACUGUAUAGCUUGAGUACUGGAGAGGCAGGCGGAAUUCCUAGUGUAGCGGUGAAAUGCGUAGAUAUUAGGAGGAACACCAGUGGCGAAGGCGGCCUGCUGGACAGAAACUGACGUUGAGGCUCGAAAGCGUGGGGAGCAAACAGGAUUAGAUACCCUGGUAGUCCACGCGGUAAACGAUGAAUGCUAGGUGUUGGG
Molecule: ribosomal RNA, 807 nt
Filed under: uncultured bacterium
Lineage: Bacteria
Description: bacterial SSU rRNA
Rfam family: Bacterial small subunit ribosomal RNA
Source: RNAcentral